Molecule: ribosomal RNA, 253 nt
Filed under: uncultured bacterium
Lineage: Bacteria
Description: partial 16S ribosomal RNA
Rfam family: Bacterial small subunit ribosomal RNA
Source: RNAcentral
UACGUAGGGGGCCAGCGUUGUCCGGAUUCAUUGGGCGUAAAGCGCGUGUAGGCGGCCAGGUAGGUCCGAUGUGAAAUCUGGAGGCUCGACCUCCAGCGGUCAUUGGAAACCAUCUGGCUAGAGUCCGGAAGAGGAGAGUGGAAUUCCUGGUGUAGCGGUGAAAUGCGCAGAUAUCAGGAAGAACACCAAUGGCGAAGGCAGCUCUCUGGGACGGUACUGACGCUGAGACGCGAAAGCGUGGGGAGCGAACAGG